GUGGAAUAUUCCUCUCUGCUAUAACCUGGGUAAUGUGAAGAUUGGUAAUUCAACAGAAAUUGGGAAGUUAUGAGGAGGGGUGGAUUUAGGGGGAAAGAUCACGAGUUGUUUUUGGACAAGUUGAGUUUGAGGGGCCUAUGGAACAUCUAGGUAGAGAUGUUCAACAGCAGUCAUUUGUAGAUGUGGGACUGGAGCUCAGAAGAGAGAUGAUAGUUGAAUCCAUGGGAACGGAUGAAGUCAUCAAGAGAGAGUGCAGAGAGAGAAAAACAUCCAGAACAGAACCCUGGGCCACACACACCCCCACACAGGGUACCGGACAUGGAUGAUGAACCUGCAAAGAAGACUGAAAAACAUUAAAUGGACAGGGAGGAAGAGAAUCAUGACAGAUAAGCAUCAUAAAACCUAGGUGAAGUAUUUCUUUCUCCAUUUGGAUCAACUCAUCCUUGCACUGAUCCAUCUCUAAUUUUAUGUGCCUGUUCAAAAAGGAAAUAAAGCAAGUAACAAAUGAAAACUAAUUCAAAUA
Long non-coding RNA from Monodelphis domestica (gray short-tailed opossum), 523 nucleotides. RefSeq lists it as uncharacterized. The record is from RefSeq and is a predicted model, not a curated record. Lineage: Eukaryota; Metazoa; Chordata; Mammalia; Didelphimorphia; Didelphidae.